Molecule: ribosomal RNA, 429 nt
Filed under: uncultured soil bacterium
Lineage: Bacteria
Description: bacterial SSU rRNA
Rfam family: Bacterial small subunit ribosomal RNA
Source: RNAcentral
AGAUUGAACGCUAGCGGGAUGCUUUACACAUGCAAGUCGAACGGCAGCGCGGACUUCGGUCUGGCGGCGAGUGGCGAACGGGUGAGUAAUAUAUCGGAACGUGCCCAGUAGCGGGGGAUAACUACGCGAAAGCGUGGCUAAUACCGCAUACGCCCUACGGGGGGAAAGGGGGGGAUUCUUCGGAACCUCUCACUAUUGGAGCGGCCGAUAUCAGAUUAGCUAGUUGGUGAGGUAAAGCUCACCGAGGCGACGAUCUGUAGCUGGUUUGAGAGGACGACCAGCCACACUGGGACUGAGACACGGCCCAGACCCCUACGGGAGGCAGCAGUGGGAAUUUGGACAAGUGGGGGAAACCCUGAUCCAGCCAUCCCCGCGGUGUCGGCGAUAGAACGGCCGUUUACGGGUUACGUAAAGGUCCUAACGGUUUUA